This 901-nucleotide ribosomal RNA is filed under the name metagenome. Its description in RNAcentral is "bacterial SSU rRNA". It matches the Rfam family "Bacterial small subunit ribosomal RNA", at positions 595 to 1520 of the family's 1533-position model. The record is from RNAcentral.
UUAAAUCCUCCGUCUCAAGCGGAGACCUGCUUGUUAGACUGCUUUACUAGAGGGUAUUAGGGAAUGUCGGAACACCUGGUGUAGGGGUGAAAUCCAUUGAGAUCAGGUGGAACACCGAGGGCGAAGGCAGACAUUUGGGAUACUCCUGACGCUAAGGGACGAAAGCUAGGGUCGCGAAAGGGAUUAGAGACCCCUGUAGUCCUAGCUGUAAACGAUGCUCGCUAGCUUGUCUCUUUUAUUAGGGGCGGGCGUAAGCUAACGCGUUAAGCGAGCCGCCUGGGGAGUACGGCCGCAAGGCUGAAACUCAAAGGAAUUGGCGGGGACCUGCACAACCAGUGGAGCAUGUGGUUUAAUUCGAUUUGAAGCGUAGAACCUUACCUAGACUUGACAUACUAGCUGCAAGUUCGCCGAAAGGCGAAUCCUUUCGAAGGUGCUAGAACAGCUGCUGCAUGGCUAUCGUCAGCUCGUGCCGUGGGGUGUUCCCUUAAGUGGGAUAACGAGCGCAACCCCUACCUUGUGUUACAAGUGUCACAAGGAACAGGGUCGAUUAUUUUCGACCAGGAAGGAGGGGACGACGUUAAGUCAGCAUGGCGCUUAUGUCUAGGGCGACACACAUCCUACAAUGGCGAAGAACAAAGGGUUGCCAAACCGCAAGGUGGAGCCAAUCCCUGAAAUUUCGCCUCAGUUCGGAUUGCGGGCUGCAAUUCGCCCGCAUGAAGUUGGAAUUGGUAGUAAUCGGAGGUCAGCAGACUUCGGUGAAUACGUUCUCAGGUCUUGCACACACUGCCCGUCAACUGAGCAAAGUCGGGGGUAGCCGAAACUCCGCAUUAUGCGGGGCUAAGUUGAACUCGGCGAUGAGCAGUAAGUCGUAACAAGGUAGCUGUAGUGGAAGCUGCAGCUG